This 253-nucleotide ribosomal RNA is filed under the name uncultured bacterium. RNAcentral's name for it is "partial 16S ribosomal RNA". It matches the Rfam family "Bacterial small subunit ribosomal RNA", at positions 524 to 776 of the family's 1533-position model. The record is from RNAcentral.
GACAGAGGGUGCGAGCGUUGUCCGGAAUCACUGGGCGUAAAGGGCGCGUAGGCGGUCUGCUAAGCGUGUGGUGAAAGCUCGGGGCUCAACCCCGAGUCGGCCGUGCGAACUGGUGGACUGGGGCACGUCAGAGGCAGGCGGAAUUCCGGGUGUAGCGGUGGAAUGCGUAGAGAUCCGGAAGAACACCGGUGGCGAAGGCGGCCUGCUGGGACGUGGCUGACGCUGAGGCGCGACAGCGUGGGGAGCAAACAGG